UAGAGUUUGAUCCUGGCUCAGAAUCAACGCUGGCGGCGUGCCUAACACAUGCAAGUCGAGCGAGAAAAGGUAGCAAUACCCUAGUAAAGCGGCGCACGGGUGAGUAACACGUGGAUAACCUGCCUCGAAGUGGGGAAUAACACCGGGAAACCGGUGCUAAUACCGCAUACUCUGACGAGAUCUGUGGAUUUUGUCAGCAAAGGAGCAAUGCGCUUUGAGAGGGGUCCGGGGCUGAUUAGCCUAGUGGGUCAGGGACGGCGCGGCCAGGGCGCGCAUCAGUCGCCGGUGUGAGGGUGCCGGCGGGCAGGCCCGGCGCGACAGACCGCCGGCACUCCUCGCCGCACUCACGC
RNAcentral lists this ribosomal RNA (350 nucleotides) under uncultured Acidobacteriota bacterium. RNAcentral's name for it is "bacterial SSU rRNA". It matches the Rfam family "Bacterial small subunit ribosomal RNA", at positions 1 to 347 of the family's 1533-position model. The record is from RNAcentral. Lineage: Bacteria; Pseudomonadati; Acidobacteriota.